Molecule: ribosomal RNA, 497 nt
Filed under: uncultured bacterium
Lineage: Bacteria
Description: partial 16S ribosomal RNA
Rfam family: Bacterial small subunit ribosomal RNA
Source: RNAcentral
GAUGAACGCUGGCGGCGUGCCUAAUACAUGCAAGUCGAACGAACAGACGCGGAGCUUGCGCCUUUGACGUUAGGGGCGCACGUGAGAGUAACACGUGGAUAACCUACCUAUAAGACUGGUAUCACUACGGGAAACCGGAGCUUAUCGCGGAUAAUAUAUUGCAGCGCAGUGUGCAAUAGUGAAAGACGGCUUUGCUGGCACUUAUAGAUGGAUCCGCGCCGCAUUAGCUAGUUGGUAAGGUAACGGCUUACCAAGGCAACUAGGCGUUGCCGAACUGAGAGGGGGAUAGCCCACACUGGAACUGAGACACGGUCCAGACGCCUACGGGAGGCAGCAGUCGGCAAUCUUCCGCAGUGGGCGAGAGCCUUACGGAGCAACCCCGCGCGAGUGGUGACGGUGUUGCGUGCGUAAAACUCUGUUACUGGGGAAGAACCAAUGUGGACGUAAAUGAGCACGUAGUGACGGUAACGAGUAAGAAAGCAACGGCUAACUACGUG